UACAUGGGGUGCAAACGUUGCUCGGAAUUAUUGGGCGUAAAGCGCGCGUAGGCGGUUACUUAAGUCGGAUGUGAAAGCCCUCGGCUUAACUGAGGAAGUGCACCCGAAACUGAGUAGCUAGAGUACGAAAGAGGGUCGCGGAAUUCCCGGUGUAGAGGUGAAAUUCGUAGAUAUCGGGAGGAACACCAGUGGCGAAGGCGGCUCACUGGCCCGGUACUGACGCUGAGGUGCGAAAGCGUGGGGAGCAAACAGG
This 253-nucleotide ribosomal RNA is filed under the name uncultured bacterium. Its description in RNAcentral is "partial 16S ribosomal RNA". It matches the Rfam family "Bacterial small subunit ribosomal RNA", at positions 524 to 776 of the family's 1533-position model. The record is from RNAcentral.